Molecule: ribosomal RNA, 451 nt
Filed under: uncultured bacterium
Lineage: Bacteria
Description: partial 16S ribosomal RNA
Rfam family: Bacterial small subunit ribosomal RNA
Source: RNAcentral
GAUGAACGCUGGCGGCGUGCCUAACACAUGCAAGUCGAGCGGCAGCGAGGGGUGCUUGCACCCUGUCGGCGAGCGGCGGACGGCUGAGUAACGCGUGGGAACGUGCCCCAAAGUGAGGAAUAACUGCCCGAAAGGGUAGCUAAUACCGCAUAUUAUCUUCGGAUCAAAGGAUUUAUCCGCUUUGGGAGCGGCUCGCGUCGGAUUAGGUAGUUGGUGAGGUAAUGGCUCACCAAGCCGACGAUCCGUAGCUGGUCUGAGAGGAUGACCAGCCAGACUGGAACUGCGACACGGACAAGACGCAGACGGGAGGAAGCAGUGAGGAAUCUGCCACGAGGGGCGAAAGACUGAUGGAGCAACGCAGAGUGCAGGACGAAGGCAGUCGGGUUGUAAAAUGCUUUUAUAAGUGAGGAAUAUGACGGUAACUUAUGAAUAAGGAUAGGAUAAAUACGUG